UAGAGUUUUAGAAAUUUAGCCUGGAAUCU
This 29-nucleotide non-coding RNA is filed under the name Rattus norvegicus (Norway rat). The record is from RNAcentral. Lineage: Eukaryota; Metazoa; Chordata; Mammalia; Rodentia; Muridae.